CUCCUACAAGGUACACAGGCGAGGCUGGAAGAUCUCUGCUCGGAAGAGAGGCCUUGCGGCUGAAACCUUCCAAUUUAUGUCCGCUGAAAACAAACUCGGACCAGCUUAGAGAGGGAAAUGGACAGCGGUGGCUAGGAUAUAGGGUUCUGGGAGCAGAAGUAGAUAAUUCAAGGUAGGCCAGUGCUGCCUGAUUACAACCCGAAGUAAAGAUUCAGGCUGAGCAAGCAAAAAAGUCCAAAGACAGAGUGACAGGAGGAUUGGGGAUAGCGACAGGGGCCCUGUGAGAGUAAGGGCAAUACCGAGGGCUGUGGCCCGAAGUCGGGCGAAUUUGGAGUGGCUACCGCGAGGGGAAACCAUCCAUACCAGUCACCACAGCCGCCACCAGCCGUCUCAGACACAGACUCUCCCGCCAUCAAAAUGGCGGCGGCGGCGACGGCAGCGGCGGCAGCCUCUACGCCGGCAGAGGCCAGGCUGAAGAAGUUGCUAUUGAACGCAUCGAUGGCUCCGUUAUCUACAUAACAUGUAUCUUUCCAAGGACUUUGCUGGGGAAGAAGUAGUGUCCACAUUUCAUGAAUGAAAAAAAAUGAGACUCAGAGAGGCCAAGUAAGCUGCCCAAGGCCACAGAGCUAAUACAUAGUGAUAGAUGUGAACUUCAAACUUGAAUUUGUCUGGCUCCAAAAUCUCUAUUCUUUUACUACAAAAAAAAACUGAGAAGAGGGAGAGAGUUUGCUGUGAGUUUCCAGCGUUACAGGGAAUAAUAUAUUGGAAGGAUUUUUCUGUUUUCUG
Choloepus didactylus (southern two-toed sloth) is the source of this 786-nucleotide long non-coding RNA. RefSeq lists it as uncharacterized. NCBI's taxonomy places the organism in Eukaryota, Metazoa, Chordata, Mammalia, Pilosa, Megalonychidae. The transcript is spliced from 3 exons. The record is from RefSeq and is a predicted model, not a curated record.